CUAACUUGAUUGCAAUUGUUUGGGACUUGGGAGUACUUUUUGUCCUGUUAUUUUUCGCUGUGAGCAAUCCUCGAACCCUCCUGUUUGCUGCGUGAAUACUCGAACCCUCCCGUUUACUGCGUGGUGGCGAAUUGAUGGCAGUUUGUUUUUCUGGGGAUUUUAUUUUUGGGGGAGAACCCUCCUCCUGCUGCUCCUCGUUAGGUCUGCGGCCAUGGAUGUUUUUACUUCACGAGAGUUCUUUUCAUGGCAAUAUGCUGACGAGAGUACGGAAGAUGUGCGUUUCAUUUGUAUGUAGAACCAUGGGUUAGUUUUGCUUCUAACACAAGCUAUACUUGUGCAGUAUUAGCCUUUGAAAUGCAUCCCCCUCUGACCUUGCACAGACAUCCUAUGUGCCGAGAUUAUUGAAGAAUUCCAAAAGUGCCAUUUGGAUAACCCUCUCAAGAAGUUUUUUGGAGAGUGCAUUGAACUUAAAGUUAAGCUGGAUCGCUGCUUCCGGCAGGAGAAAGCUCUGAAGAGAAAGGCAAACUUUGAUGAGAGCAAGAAAUUUAAAGAACAACUUCAGGCCUAUAAGAGGGAGAUUGCAGAGAAAUCUCAGGAAUAAAAACAUCAGAGCAUAGGAUAAAGACCAAAACGUGGAUGAUCAUUAUCUGUCACAAUAUGUCCUGCGAAGGAAGUGUACCAUGUGAUUUGAUAAAGUUUAUAUACUUCGGGAACACAGUUUUCAAACGGUAGCUAAUGCUCAGUUCCUUGAGAGUUGAAUUUCUUUCUUGACUAUGAGAUUAUGUUGAUUUUUCGUCCAUGCAUUUUUCUGUAGCACUGAAGCUUCGUGCCAGAUUUAUAGACACAGCUCUUAUUUUGUUAUCGGUUAUUCAGUUGUAAGGAAAGUUGUAUUAAACAUGCUUAAUGUGUUAAGUAGCACAUGUAAUGUACUAUACCAAAUUACCUAUAUAGAUUGGUCAACAAGGAGAACGAAAA
Brachypodium distachyon (stiff brome) is the source of this 975-nucleotide long non-coding RNA. RefSeq lists it as uncharacterized. The transcript is spliced from 3 exons. Lineage: Eukaryota; Viridiplantae; Streptophyta; Magnoliopsida; Poales; Poaceae. The record is from RefSeq and is a predicted model, not a curated record.